This 2315-nucleotide ribosomal RNA is filed under the name marine metagenome. Its description in RNAcentral is "bacterial LSU rRNA". It matches the Rfam family "Bacterial large subunit ribosomal RNA", at positions 14 to 2487 of the family's 2925-position model. The record is from RNAcentral.
AGGGCGUGUAGUGGAUGCCUUGGCACUGAAAGCCGAUGAAGGACGUGAUAUACUGCGAUAAGUUUCGGGGAGCUGUAUGUAAGUUUUGAUCCGAAAAUUUCCGAAUGGGGAAACCCACCACUUUAUGUGGUACUUUAAACUGAAUACAUAGGUUUAAAGAGACAACCUGGAGAACUGAAACAUCUAAGUAACCAGAGGAAAAGAAAUCAAUUGAGAUUCCGUUAGUAGUGGCGAGCGAACGCGGAAUAGGCCAGUAGUUUUGUUAAAAAAAUUUGAAUAGUUUGGAAAUGCUAACCAUAGAGGGUGAUAGUCCCGUAUGAGUAAUGUUUAACAAAAUUCUUGAGUAAAGCGGGACACGAGAAAUCCUGCUCGAAUAUAGGGGGACCACCCUCUAAGCCUAAAUACUCUUCAGUGACCGAUAGUGAACUAGUACCGUGAGGGAAAGGUGAAAAGAACCCCUAUUAGGGGAGUGAAAUAGAACCUGAAACUGCAUGCCUACAAUCAGUCGAAGCUCUUUUUAGAGUGACGGCGUACCUUUUGUAUAAUGGGUCAGUGACUUAAUUUAUUAAGCAAGCUUAAGCCAUCUAGGUGUAGGCGCAGCGAAAGCAAGUCUUAAUAGGGCGAUUAGUUUAAUGAAUUAGACCCGAAAACGAAUGAGCUUACCAUGAGCAGGUUGAAAGUUGGGUAACACCAACCGGAGGACCGAACCAGUUGACGUUGAAAAGUCUUUGGAUGACUUGUGGUAAGGGGUGAAAGGCCAACCAAAUUCGUAGAUAGCUGGUUUUCCGCGAAAACUAUUUAGGUAGUGCGUUGAAUAAAUAGAUGUUUAGAGGUAGAGCACUAAAUGGGCUAGGGGGAAGAGAUUCUUACCAAACCUAAUAAAACUCCGAAUGCUAGACAUUGUUCUUCGGCAGACAGACUGUGGGUGCUAAGGUCCAUGGUCGAGAGGGAAAGAGCCCAGACCACCAGAUAAGGUCCCAAAAUUAUGAUUAAGUGUGAAAGGAUGUGGAAAUUCCUUAACAGCCGGGAGGUUGGCUUAGAAGCAGCCAUCCUUUAAAGAUAGCGUAACAGCUCACCGGUCUAAUAGAGUUUCUGCGCCGAAGAUGUAACGGGGCUAAAAUCAUAUACCGAAUCUGUGGGUUUAUAAAACUUUCGAGUUUUAUAAGCGGUAGCGGAACGUUCUGUAAGCCUGUGAAGGGAUACCCGUGAGGGAUCCUGGAGGUAUCAGAAGUGCGAAUGCUGACAUAAGUAACGAUAAAAGAAGUGAAAAACUUCUUCGCCGAAAAUCCAAGGGUUUCUGCGCAAGGUUAAUCCGCGCAGAGUUAGUCGGCACCUAAGGCGAGGGCGAAAGCCGUAGUCGAUGGAAACAAGGUUAAUAUUCCUUGACCUGAUGGUAGUGACGGAUUCCGUAAGUUGUGAGUUCUUAAUGGAUUGAACUUGCCGCGAAGGGGUCCCAAGAAAUAGCUCCAUCAUUAAGACCGUACCCGAAACCGACACAGGUAGAUUAAUAGAGUAUAUUUAGGCGCUUGAGAGAAUGAUGUUGAAGGAACUCGGCAAAAUGCUUCCGUAACUUCGGGAUAAGGAAGACCUUUUUGUAGGCAACUAUAGAAGGGUGGCACAAGCCAGGGAGAAGCGACUGUUUAUCAAAAACACAGGGCUCUGCUAACACGUAAGUGGAUGUAUAGGGUCUGACGCCUGCCCGGUGCUGGAAGGUUAAUGCGGUUGGUGCAAGCUAACUUCUGAAGCCCCAGUGAACGGCGGCCGUAACUAUAACGGUCCUAAGGUAGCGAAAUUCCUUGUCGGGUAAGUUCCGACCUGCAUGAAUGGCGUAACGAUUUCUCCGCUGUCUCCAACAUCAACUCAGUGAAAUUGAAUUCUCCGUGAAGAUGCGGAGUUCGCGUAGUUAGACGGAAAGACCCCGUGCACCUUUACUGCAACUUUACAUUGGUGUUAGGAAAAACAUAUUUAGCAUAGGAGGGAGACUUUGAAGCAAAGGCGUCAGCUUUUGUGGAGUCACCAGUGAAAUACCUCUUUUGUUUUUCUUGACAUCUAACCGCUAGCCGUCAUCCGGCAGCGAGACAUUGUAUGGUGGGUAGUUUGACUGGGGCGGUCGCCUCCCAAAUAGUAACGGAGGCGUGCGAAGGUAGGCUCAGAACGGUCAGAAAUCGUUCGUAGAGUGCAAUGGCAUAAGCCUGCCUGACUGUGAGACUGACAAGUCGAGCAGAGACGAAAGUCGGUCAUAGUGAUCCGGUGGUUCUGAGUGGAAGGGCCAUCGCUCAACGGAUAAAAGGUACGCCGGGGAUAACAGGCUGAUA